Neomonachus schauinslandi (Hawaiian monk seal) is the source of this 118-nucleotide long non-coding RNA. RefSeq lists it as uncharacterized. The record is from RefSeq and is a predicted model, not a curated record. The transcript has 3 exons. NCBI's taxonomy places the organism in Eukaryota, Metazoa, Chordata, Mammalia, Carnivora, Phocidae.
CGACGGCGGCGGCGGCAGUGCAGCUGAGCUGGGCUGGAACCGCCCACCCGGAGGUCCUGCAGCAACCUAGGAGGAUGCCCUGGAAGCCCAGCUAGGGCCCGACUUUGGCCCCAUGCGU